GUCCAUUGCAUUGCCAGCUCGCC
This 23-nucleotide non-coding RNA is filed under the name Arabidopsis thaliana (thale cress). The record is from RNAcentral. Lineage: Eukaryota; Viridiplantae; Streptophyta; Magnoliopsida; Brassicales; Brassicaceae.